RNAcentral lists this ribosomal RNA (632 nucleotides) under Acheilognathus macropterus (deep body bitterling). RNAcentral's name for it is "partial 16S ribosomal RNA". It matches the Rfam family "Bacterial large subunit ribosomal RNA", at positions 1783 to 2621 of the family's 2925-position model. The record is from RNAcentral. Lineage: Eukaryota; Metazoa; Chordata; Actinopteri; Cypriniformes; Acheilognathidae.
CCCCCCAUUCCCCCCCCUUUUUUUUCAAACAUCGCCUCCUGCAACUUUUUAUGUAUAGGAGGUCCAGCCUGCCCAGUGACUACGGGUUCAACGGCCGCGGUAUUUUGACCGUGCAAAGGUAGCGCAAUCACUUGUCUUUUAAAUAAAGACCUGUAUGAAUGGCUAGACGAGGGCUUAGCUGUCUCCCCCUUCCAGUCAGUGAAAUUGAUCUAUCCGUGCAGAAGCGGAUAUACCCCUACAAGACGAGAAGACCCUUUGGAGCUUAAGGUACAAAACUUAAUCACGUUAAACAACUUAACAAAGAGAUAAGAACUUAGUGAGACAUAAGAUUUUACCUUCGGUUGGGGCGACCACGGAGGAAAAACAAGCCUCCAAGAGGAAUGGGUUUAUACCCUAAAGCCUAGAGAAACCUCUCUACGCCGCAGAACAUCUGACCAGCAAUGAUCCGGCAUAAAGCCGAUCAACGGACCAAGUUACCCUAGGGAUAACAGCGCAAUCCUCUCCCAGAGUCCAUAUCGACGAGGGGGUUUACGACCUCGAUGUUGGAUCAGGACAUCCUAAUGGUGCAGCCGCUAUUAAGGGUUCGUUUGUUCAACGAUUAAAGUCCUACGUGAUCUAGUUUCCAAAAACGG